CAAUAGCGUAUAUUAAAGUUGUUGCGGUUAAAAAGCUCGUAGUUGGAUUUCUGUUGGGAACGACCGGUCCGCCCAUUGGGUGUGUAUCUGGCUUGUUCUCGGCAUCUUCUUGGUGAACGUUGCUGCACUUGACUGUGUGGAGCGCUACCCAGGACUUUUACUUUGAGGAAAUUAGAGUGUUUCAAGCAGGCAUAUGCCUUGAAUACAUUAGCAUGGAAUAAUAAGAUAGGACCUCGGUUCUAUUUUGUUGGUUUCUAGAGCUGAGGUAAUGAUUAAUAGGGAUAGUUGGGGGCAUUCGUAUUUAACUGUCAGAGGUGAAAUACUUGGAUUUGUUAAAGACGGACUACUGCGAAAGCAUUUGCCAAGGAUGUUUUCAUUGA
RNAcentral lists this ribosomal RNA (380 nucleotides) under uncultured eukaryote. Its description in RNAcentral is "partial 18S ribosomal RNA". It matches the Rfam family "Eukaryotic small subunit ribosomal RNA", at positions 592 to 976 of the family's 1831-position model. The record is from RNAcentral.